Molecule: long non-coding RNA, 3691 nt
Organism: Carassius auratus (goldfish)
Lineage: Eukaryota; Metazoa; Chordata; Actinopteri; Cypriniformes; Cyprinidae
Source: Ensembl
GAAUGCUACCAAUAGAGGGUGGCGAUGAGCAGAGGGUUUUGUUUGCGGUAGAUCAGACCUCCAACAACUGCCCCUCAUUCCAGCCCUCUCUCUCUCUCUCUCUCUCUCUCUCUCUCUCUCUCUCUCUCUCUCUCUCUCUCUCUCUCUCUCAGUGCAUGAACUUCAUCCUAGGUAGUUAACCAUUCGAACAGCUGCGCUCCAGUUUCUCAGUUUUCCUCGCUCUCUCUCUCUCCGACUGAAUGCACUUCCUUACUUUCAGCCCUCCCUCUCGCGCUCUCUCCUCCUCUACAUCCUCAAUCUCUCAGCAGCAGCAGCAGUUUGCGUCCUGAGAGAACUGGGACGAACAUCCAUGGGGCGCGCGCAGCAUCUUUAUUUCCCCACGUUGCAAUUUGAGGUCAUAUAGGUGGAAUAUUCACGCCGACGCAGCAAACAAACUUGAGUCGUUCGGCGUUUAAUCUACCGGUUUAAAACGCACCAUAUCUGUUUUUAUUUGUGACAUUUGUGGCUGUGCUGAACUGUGGUGAUGGAUGGGGAUGCGUGUGUUCGCGUGUGGACUCGACCGCUGCAAGUGAUGCUCCAGCAGAAGAAGAUCAAAGCGCGGAGGAAAAAGCGCAAGGAGUUGUUCGGGGGACAGAUGUGCUUCUUGGGGCUGCUGCUGUUGGCGGUGUCCUUCCUGUCCGGUUUGGCUGACAAUUCCGGUUAUGGCAUCUCCAGUCUCUCAGCUGAAGAUAGUGAGAUGUGGGAGAGUCGCAGGCUGCUGCAGGACUUUGGCAUUGACAGCAACUACACUGAUGAGGUGCAGGUUGGGCCCAAUGCUGAAAAGAACUGCACACCACCUGGUAAGAGGUUUAGGACCACACACACGUAAAACCUCACACAACUUACCAGCUCUUUUGCUUCAACAGCACAGAUGAAACAGGAAAAUGAUUGUUGUUUGUAAGAAACUAAGCAUGACAGAUGACUAAUGUCACAAUGGAAACAACACCUUGAUAUGAUUAAGCAAGAAGUCAUGUUAGGUUUCAAAUCUGAAAAACUUUUUUUUGUUUUGAGGGUAGAAUUUUCCUAUUGGGAUGUGUAUUGGAUUGUGAACUAUUUUCUAUGAACUUAAAGAUCAAGUGGUUUUUCUAAAAUGAAAUAUCCUCUUUUAUUUGUUCUCCUUUGGUUUGUGAGUCCACAGAGGUGUUAGUCCUGUAUCAGGACUCUCUUGUCAUCAGUAAGCCAGACACUAACUCUUUUGUUGCAUGGGAGUGAGUAAUCUCGCUGACACAGACUUUGCUAUUGUUUCUCUUGUGGCUCGCUGGCUAGAGAACAUAAUGUGUAUUUCAAACCCAUGAGCAGUGACCAGUUCAAAGGUUAACAGUAGAUUUCUGGCCAAGGUGAAAACCAGAAAGGUCACCCAAUGAAGACAUUAGGGCUUAUGAAAAAUAUUGGUGCUGUAAGAAAAGUCAGCAGAUCAAGACUCUAUCAGCUGAGUUUGAUUUUGAAUUUGGUUCAUGUCUGUAGCCUACAAGAUCUCAUGGUAAACUGAUUCAUACCAACUUGUAAUUUCUGACAGAAUUAGUAUAAACAAUGUGACAUUUCCAAUCUGUUCCUCAUAAUUUUUCCUCAUUGUUAUUCAUUGUUUAUUUGCACAGUUGGUGUAGCUCCUCUGUGUAAUUCAAUGCACUAGGCUAGACCAUGCUCCACACUCUUGGCUAUUGUGAAAAGGCCAAUUAGAACCAGUCUGAGAGAGAGGCGAGGAUGAACAAAGGGGUCAUCGAUACUGUGUGGGUCAAAAGAUUCACCAUCUCUGUCUUCUUACUAAGCUCUACUCUUUCCUCCUGCAAUGUGUUUACUGUGGCUGGGAUCUACUACAGCACACUGUUAGUAUCUGAUUCCACUUCUCUGCUCAGUUUGUUUGUUGUCAGGAACUUCAUACAUGGAACUUUUAUAUAGUGGCACCAAAAAGUAAUUGGACAGUGAGAAAAAUUAUGCAGUAUAUUAAUACAGUAAUGUUAUGAACAGGGCCCCUCGUCAGCUAAGGACGGCCCUGGUUUUGAAAUAUUGUUUCAGUUUAAAUUUGUAAUAACUAUUUUUCUAUUUUAAUAUAUCUUUAAAUAUAAUUAAUUAUUGUGUUGGCAAAGUUAUUCAGCAAUCAUUACACCAGUUGAGUCACAUCAUCCUUCAGAAAUCAUUCUAAUGUGCUGAUUUGGUGCUCAAGAAACAUUUCUUAUUAUUAUCAAUGCUGAGAACAGUAGUGCUGCUUGAUAUUUUUAGUGUAAAUACUUUUUUUUCCAGGAUUUGUUGAUGAACAUUAGGUUUCAAAAUAACAAUCUAUUGGAAAAGGGCAUCUUUUCUAUCGGUUUAAUAUGGUAAAUGUAAUACUUUCUUGUAGUCUUUGUUGAAUAAAAGUAUUAAUGUAUUUUUUAAAAUCUUGCUGACUUUUGAAUGUUAGUGUAUAUUCAAAAAUGAGACAUUUAAAAAAAUAAAAAAUAAACAAGUGACAAAAAAGUAAAAGUAAAAUUAACUGUGGAAAUUACUGUAUUGAUAUUUAUUUGGAGAAGCCACACAUCCAUACAGGGAACACUUACCCUGCAGUGAAUACAGAGGAAUGUCAAGUCUUAUGGAUGGUGAGAUAGAGCAAAACUUAUGAUUUAAGAAAUAAAACAGUGCACUUUCCAUGGGGAGCCAUUGUUUUUGCAGUGAGCUCAGUGUGUAACGACCCAGCUCUGCUGUUAGGAGGUGUAAAGGGAGCAGCUUUGCUUCCGUAACACAGCAUGGCCUGCCUGCUUUUGUUUGUGUUAUUUUUUUUUUCUUCUUUUCUUUUUUUUUUUUUUUGAGAGAGCGGAUUUGGGUGAAUGUUUCCAAGUGGGAUCCUGGUGUUUUAGGAGGCUGUGUUUCUUGCCAAACAUCUCCUUGAUCUCGCCGUGAAAGAGUGAGCUGUACUCUUAAGAUCUCGCUCGUGUCCAGAUGCCCGCUCCCCCACCCGUCUCCAACACCAGCCUGGCGCCUUGGCACAGGUUGAGGGUUUCCUUACUCUACUGUUUAAAACUAUUCUUCCUUUAAUACAGCUAGAAUUCUACACAUUACACUAGAGAAUAAGUCUGGCUCAUAUCCUGAUAUUUAAACCUAGAUUUUACUACACGUACAUAAAUUGGGAAUAACAACAUUGUUUACAGUAAAUGCAUGAAUGAAUGUCCUAAUGCAAGACUCAUUCCUGAAUUUACAAUGAUUGACAAAGUGAUAACCCAAACCAAGGUUUUAGUCUCUAGGCUGCAAACAAGAAAUUUGCAAAUCCAGAAUUUGGGAUAUUUCAGACUGGAGACCUAUUCUGGUGUCAUAGAAUAAACAACAAAACAAACCUUGUUUUGUUCUUAAUAGUAAUUCUUUAUUUACCAAAGUCGCAUUCAUUAAUAAAAAGUAAUAGUAAAGACAUUUAUUCUGUUUAAUAUUUAUAUUUUCAGCAUUUAUUUAAAAAUUGUAUUUGGAAUUUCAAUUGAAAUUUAUUUUUUAACUCAGCACAACUGUUUUCAACAUUAAUCAUACUAAUACAUGUAUUUUUUACCAAAUCAGCAUAUUAGAAUGAUUUCUGAAAGAUCAUGUGACACUGGAAACUGUAAAACACACAAGUUCAGCUUUGCCGUAACAAGAAAUAUUGUAUAAUAUAGUUUUAAUCUGAAAGCACUGUAUUUUAUUAAAUUGUAUUUUCUUU